UACGUAGGGGGCAAGCGUUGUCCGGAUUUAUUGGGCGUAAAGAGCGUGUAGGCGGCCAGGUAGGUCCGUUGUGAAAACUCGAGGCUCAACCUCGAGACGUCGGCGGAAACCCUCUGGCUAGAGUCCGGAAGAGGAGAGUGGAAUUCCUGGUGUAGCGGUGAAAUGCGCAGAUAUCAGGAAGAACACCCGUGGCGAAGGCGGCUCUGUGGGACGGUACUGACGCUGAGACGCGAAAGCGUGGGGAGCAAACAGG
Molecule: ribosomal RNA, 253 nt
Filed under: uncultured bacterium
Lineage: Bacteria
Description: partial 16S ribosomal RNA
Rfam family: Bacterial small subunit ribosomal RNA
Source: RNAcentral